GGUCUAGGCCCGAAACGUCAGCUUUUGUGCUCCCAAGAUGCUACUUGGCCUGCUGUGUUCAUCCAGCCUCACAAGUUAUUUUAAGAUUUUGCCUGAACUAAGAAAGCCAAAGCCAACUGUGGUGCAAGAAUAAAUUAAUUUCUGCAAAGAUUGGUGACAAAAGCUUCCAUUUUAGAUUUUAUCAUGUUCUGCACCACCUGCAAAGGACAGUGUAAACAAAUCCAACCAGACCUCCACGAUUCUUCAGCUGACUGGCAGGAAGUAUACAAGAUGACCUGGCGAUAACUUUUCUUCUUUCCCAUAGUGUGUGGUUUUUGCUUGGUAACUCAGUGCAGCGAUGAAGCUGAGACUGGGCACCACAGCAGAAUUAAACUCAUUGCUCACCAUUCUGUGGUUUAGUUUGUUGAGGUUCCUACGCACUGCACUACACCAGGAAACUGGUGACAAAUUACCAUUGCUUUGCCAGAAAAUCAAUGGACAUAUGAGUUGAUCUGCCUGCACAAAUGUCAUUUUAAAAUCGAUUAGAAUCAAUGCAACUUGAUGUAUACCAGGAAUGUUCUUUAUCCUGUUGGCUCCAGCUCCUCAGUGGUUAAGUGUGAAAAUAGGACAAUUCUAUCUGACGAUACAAACGUGCAACAGAA
This is a long non-coding RNA of Stegostoma tigrinum, 641 nucleotides long. RefSeq lists it as uncharacterized. NCBI's taxonomy places the organism in Eukaryota, Metazoa, Chordata, Chondrichthyes, Orectolobiformes, Stegostomatidae. The record is from RefSeq and is a predicted model, not a curated record. The transcript is spliced from 3 exons.